RNAcentral lists this ribosomal RNA (2787 nucleotides) under Escherichia coli. RNAcentral's name for it is "bacterial LSU rRNA". It matches the Rfam family "Bacterial large subunit ribosomal RNA". The record is from RNAcentral. Lineage: Bacteria; Pseudomonadati; Pseudomonadota; Gammaproteobacteria; Enterobacterales; Enterobacteriaceae.
AGCGUACACGGUGGAUGCCCUGGCAGUCAGAGGCGAUGAAGGACGUGCUAAUCUGCGAUAAGCGUCGGUAAGGUGAUAUGAACCGUUAUAACCGGCGAUUUCCGAAUGGGGAAACCCAGUGUGUUUCGACACACUAUCAUUAACUGAAUCCAUAGGUUAAUGAGGCGAACCGGGGGAACUGAAACAUCUAAGUACCCCGAGGAAAAGAAAUCAACCGAGAUUCCCCCAGUAGCGGCGAGCGAACGGGGAGCAGCCCAGAGCCUGAAUCAGUGUGUGUGUUAGUGGAAGCGUCUGGAAAGGCGCGCGAUACAGGGUGACAGCCCCGUACACAAAAAUGCACAUGCUGUGAGCUCGAUGAGUAGGGCGGGACACGUGGUAUCCUGUCUGAAUAUGGGGGGACCAUCCUCCAAGGCUAAAUACUCCUGACUGACCGAUAGUGAACCAGUACCGUGAGGGAAAGGCGAAAAGAACCCCGGCGAGGGGAGUGAAAAAGAACCUGAAACCGUGUACGUACAAGCAGUGGGAGCACGCUUCGGCGUGUGACUGCGUACCUUUUGUAUAAUGGGUCAGCGACUUAUAUUCUGUAGCAAGGUUAACCGAAUAGGGGAGCCGAAGGGAAACCGAGUCUUAACUGGGCGUUAAGUUGCAGGGUAUAGACCCGAAACCCGGUGAUCUAGCCAUGGGCAGGUUGAAGGUUGGGUAACACUAACUGGAGGACCGAACCGACUAAUGUUGAAAAAUUAGCGGAUGACUUGUGGCUGGGGGUGAAAGGCCAAUCAAACCGGGAGAUAGCUGGUUCUCCCCGAAAGCUAUUUAGGUAGCGCCUCGUGAAUUCAUCUCCGGGGGUAGAGCACUGUUUCGGCAAGGGGGUCAUCCCGACUUACCAACCCGAUGCAAACUGCGAAUACCGGAGAAUGUUAUCACGGGAGACACACGGCGGGUGCUAACGUCCGUCGUGAAGAGGGAAACAACCCAGACCGCCAGCUAAGGUCCCAAAGUCAUGGUUAAGUGGGAAACGAUGUGGGAAGGCCCAGACAGCCAGGAUGUUGGCUUAGAAGCAGCCAUCAUUUAAAGAAAGCGUAAUAGCUCACUGGUCGAGUCGGCCUGCGCGGAAGAUGUAACGGGGCUAAACCAUGCACCGAAGCUGCGGCAGCGACGCUGAUGCGUUGUUGGGUAGGGGAGCGUUCUGUAAGCCUGCGAAGGUGUGCUGUGAGGCAUGCUGGAGGUAUCAGAAGUGCGAAUGCUGACAUAAGUAACGAUAAAGCGGGUGAAAAGCCCGCUCGCCGGAAGACCAAGGGUUCCUGUCCAACGUUAAUCGGGGCAGGGUGAGUCGACCCCUAAGGCGAGGCCGAAAGGCGUAGUCGAUGGGAAACAGGUUAAUAUUCCUGUACUUGGUGUUACUGCGAAGGGGGGACGGAGAAGGCUAUGUUGGCCGGGCGACGGUUGUCCCGGUUUAAGCGUGUAGGCUGGUUUUCCAGGCAAAUCCGGAAAAUCAAGGCUGAGGCGUGAUGACGAGGCACUACGGUGCUGAAGCAACAAAUGCCCUGCUUCCAGGAAAAGCCUCUAAGCAUCAGGUAACAUCAAAUCGUACCCCAAACCGACACAGGUGGUCAGGUAGAGAAUACCAAGGCGCUUGAGAGAACUCGGGUGAAGGAACUAGGCAAAAUGGUGCCGUAACUUCGGGAGAAGGCACGCUGAUAUGUAGGUGAAGUCCCUCGCGGAUGGAGCUGAAAUCAGUCGAAGAUACCAGCUGGCUGCAACUGUUUAUUAAAAACACAGCACUGUGCAAACACGAAAGUGGACGUAUACGGUGUGACGCCUGCCCGGUGCCGGAAGGUUAAUUGAUGGGGUUAGCGCAAGCGAAGCUCUUGAUCGAAGCCCCGGUAAACGGCGGCCGUAACUAUAACGGUCCUAAGGUAGCGAAAUUCCUUGUCGGGUAAGUUCCGACCUGCACGAAUGGCGUAAUGAUGGCCAGGCUGUCUCCACCCGAGACUCAGUGAAAUUGAACUCGCUGUGAAGAUGCAGUGUACCCGCGGCAAGACGGAAAGACCCCGUGAACCUUUACUAUAGCUUGACACUGAACAUUGAGCCUUGAUGUGUAGGAUAGGUGGGAGGCUUUGAAGUGUGGACGCCAGUCUGCAUGGAGCCGACCUUGAAAUACCACCCUUUAAUGUUUGAUGUUCUAACGUUGACCCGUGAUCCGGGUUGCGGACAGUGUCUGGUGGGUAGUUUGACUGGGGCGGUCUCCUCCUAAAGAGUAACGGAGGAGCACGAAGGUUGGCUAAUCCUGGUCGGACAUCAGGAGGUUAGUGCAAUGGCAUAAGCCAGCUUGACUGCGAGCGUGACGGCGCGAGCAGGUGCGAAAGCAGGUCAUAGUGAUCCGGUGGUUCUGAAUGGAAGGGCCAUCGCUCAACGGAUAAAAGGUACUCCGGGGAUAACAGGCUGAUACCGCCCAAGAGUUCAUAUCGACGGCGGUGUUUGGCACCUCGAUGUCGGCUCAUCACAUCCUGGGGCUGAAGUAGGUCCCAAGGGUAUGGCUGUUCGCCAUUUAAAGUGGUACGCGAGCUGGGUUUAGAACGUCGUGAGACAGUUCGGUCCCUAUCUGCCGUGGGCGCUGGAGAACUGAGGGGGGCUGCUCCUAGUACGAGAGGACCGGAGUGGACGCAUCACUGGUGUUCGGGUUGUCAUGCCAAUGGCACUGCCCGGUAGCUAAAUGCGGAAGAGAUAAGUGCUGAAAGCAUCUAAGCACGAAACUUGCCCCGAGAUGAGUUCUCCCUGACUCCUUGA